CAGGGAAUAUUGCACAAUGGGCGAAAGCCUGAUGCAGCGACACCGCGUGCGGGAGGAAGGCCUUCGGGUUGUAAACCGCUUUCAGGAGGGACGAAAAUGACGGUACCUCCAGAAGAAGGUCCGGCCAGCUACGUGCCAGCAGCCGCGGUAACACGUAGGGACCAAACGUUGUCCGGAAUUAUUGGGCGUAAAGGGCUCGUAGGCGGUUCAACAAGUCGGCCGUGAAAGCCCGGGGCUCAACCCCGGGACGCCGGUCGAAACUGUUGUGACUAGGGUCCGGUAGAGGUCACUGGAAUUCUCGGUGUAGCGGUGGAAUGCGCAGAUAUCGAGAGGAACACCAUUAGCGAAGGCGGGUGACUGGGCCGGUACCGACGCUGAGGAGCGAAAGCGUGGGGAGCAAACAGGAUUAGAUACCCCCGUAGUCC
RNAcentral lists this ribosomal RNA (425 nucleotides) under uncultured prokaryote. RNAcentral's name for it is "bacterial SSU rRNA". It matches the Rfam family "Bacterial small subunit ribosomal RNA", at positions 355 to 796 of the family's 1533-position model. The record is from RNAcentral.